RNAcentral lists this small nuclear RNA (216 nucleotides) under Dipodomys ordii (Ord's kangaroo rat). Lineage: Eukaryota; Metazoa; Chordata; Mammalia; Rodentia; Heteromyidae. The record is from RNAcentral.
GUGCUCACUUCAGUAGCACAUAUACUAAAUUUGGAAUGAUACAGAAGAUUAACCUAGGGGUAAGAAUGUUCAAAAGGGUGACAUUGGCCAAGGCACACUGUAUGCAUAAACUGCUUUGUACAACUACUUAAAGAUAAUUUUGAAAAAAGAAACAAGGAUUAGUAUGACCCCUGCUCAAUGGAUGACACACAAAUUUGUGAAGCGUUCCAUACUUUA